Cricetulus griseus (Chinese hamster) is the source of this 151-nucleotide unclassified non-coding RNA. Its record names the gene 7SK. It matches the Rfam family "7SK RNA". Rfam says of the family: 7SK was discovered as an abundant small nuclear RNA in the mid-70s but a possible function has only recently been suggested. Two independent studies have found that 7SK RNA binds the CDK9/cyclin T complex (known as elongation factor P-TEFb). Lineage: Eukaryota; Metazoa; Chordata; Mammalia; Rodentia; Cricetidae. The record is from Ensembl.
UCCUUCCUGAAGCUGCACAAUCAGUUGAAAAGGCUAGAUGACCUCAGCUAAAGGAGGACCAGCCUCUGAUUAAGGGUACGAGUAGUUGUGCUCACCUACGAGACAAGUUCCAAGUAAGCUGUUAGGGAGUUUAUGCAACAGUUAGUGCAAC